RNAcentral lists this transfer RNA (72 nucleotides) under Capitella teleta. RNAcentral describes it as "tRNA-Glu for anticodon CUC". It matches the Rfam family "tRNA". From Rfam's summary of the family: Transfer RNA (tRNA) molecules are approximately 80 nucleotides in length. Lineage: Eukaryota; Metazoa; Annelida; Polychaeta; Capitellidae. The record is from Rfam by way of RNAcentral.
UCCCAGAUGGUCUGGUGGUUAGGAUUCGGCGCUCUCACCGCCGAGGCCGGGGUUCGAUUCCCCGUCUGGGAG